RNAcentral lists this ribosomal RNA (233 nucleotides) under uncultured bacterium. RNAcentral's name for it is "partial 16S ribosomal RNA". It matches the Rfam family "Bacterial small subunit ribosomal RNA", at positions 118 to 348 of the family's 1533-position model. The record is from RNAcentral.
UGAGGAACAUGACCUUCGGCGGGGGAUAGCCGGCCCAACGGCCGGGUAAUACCGCGUACGACCACAUGGGGACAUCCCUGAGUGGUGAAAGCAGCAAUGCGCCGAUGGAGUGCCUCGCGGCCUAUCAGCUAGUUGGUGAGGUAACGGCUCACCAAGGCGACGACGGGUAGCCGGCCUGAGAGGGUGACCGGCCACACUGGGACUGAGACACGGCCCAGACCUCCUACGGGAGG